GGCUCAGAGUGAACGCUGGCGGUAGGCCUAACACAUGCAAGUCGAACGGCAGCACAGGAGAGCUUGCUCUCUGGGUGGCGAGUGGCGGACGGGUGAGGAAUGCAUCGGAAUCUACUCUUUCGUGGGGGAUAACGUAGGGAAACUUACGCUAAUACCGCAUACGACCUACGGGUGAAAGCCGGGGACCUUCGGGCCUGGCGCGAAUGAAUGAGCCGAUGCCCGAUUAGCUAGUUGGCGGGGUAAGAGCCCACCAAGGCGACGAUCGGUAGCUGGUCUGAGAGGAUGAUCAGCCACACUGGAACUGAGACACGGUCCAGACUCCUACGGGAGGCAGCAGUGGGGAAUAUUGGACAAUGGGCGCAAGCCUGAUCCAGCCAUACCGCGUGGGUGAAGAAGGCCUUCGGGUUGUAAAGCCCUUUUGUUGGGAAAGAAAAGCAGUCGGUUAAUACCCGAUUGUUCUGACGGUACCCAAAGAAUAA
RNAcentral lists this ribosomal RNA (479 nucleotides) under Stenotrophomonas nitritireducens. RNAcentral's name for it is "bacterial SSU rRNA". It matches the Rfam family "Bacterial small subunit ribosomal RNA", at positions 21 to 489 of the family's 1533-position model. The record is from RNAcentral. Lineage: Bacteria; Pseudomonadati; Pseudomonadota; Gammaproteobacteria; Lysobacterales; Lysobacteraceae.